RNAcentral lists this ribosomal RNA (468 nucleotides) under uncultured bacterium. RNAcentral's name for it is "partial 16S ribosomal RNA". It matches the Rfam family "Bacterial small subunit ribosomal RNA", at positions 28 to 507 of the family's 1533-position model. The record is from RNAcentral.
GACGAACGCUGGCGGCGUGCUUAACACAUGCAAGUCGAACGGAAAGGCCCUGGUUUUUUGGGGUGCUCGAGUGGCGAACGGGUGAGUAACACGUGAGUAACCUGCCCUUGACUUUGGGAUAACUUCAGGAAACUGGGGCUAAUACCGGAUAGGAUCUCCUGCUGCAUGGUGGGGGUUGGAAAGUUUCGGCGGUUGGGGAUGGACUCGCGGCUCAUCAGCUUGUUGGUGGGGUAGUGGCUUACCAAGGCUUUGACGGGUAGCCGGCCUGAGAGGGUGACCGGCCACAUUGGGACUGAGAUACGGCCCAGACUCCUACGGGAGGCAGCAGUGGGGAAUAUUGCACAAUGGGCGGAAGCCUGAUGCAGCAACGCCGCGUGCGGGUUGACGGCCUUCGGGUUGUAAACCGCUUUCGCCUGUGACGAAGCGUGAGUGACGGUAAUGGGUAAAGAAGCACCGGCUAACUACGUG